UGAAUAAGUUAUUAUUGUUCAGCAGUCGUGCAACGUUGCAACAUUUAUAGUUAAAUGAUUAGUUAAGAGCCCACGUCAAUUAAUUUUAAUAUGUUAAUAGAUAGGUUUAUAAAUGUACUUAUUGACGGUCAGGUAGAUGAAAGUAGUAACAUUUGCAUGUAGCGUUAUUCUAUUUUUUUUUGUUUUUUUGUUUAAAGAGCUUAGACUUUUGUGUGUGUGCUAUCUAUUUUGAUUGUUUCUUUUGCAGAUUGGAAAUGCCUGCAUGAAACUCGUCUAUGAAGAGGGCAAAGACAUAUACCCUGCCAACAUGCAUGUUAUCGCCAGAAUCCUCUAGCCUACUCUCCAGAAUGUGUAAAUCAUACUAUUUGACAUCUACAUCUAAGUCAGAAGUAAAAUAAAAGGUACAGAAGCCACUCUUAAGAGAGAUCCUCCUUCUAGUCUUCCUUUAGAAUAAUCAAAGCCUGGUUUUGGAGAUGACAAACACAGAGACAUCUUUAGGUCCACAGCUAAGAGAUUCCUGAUAACCUACAUUUAAACAAUUUAAAUUAAAUAAUUUUUUUAAUGAUGAUUCUGCCUGUUUAUUAUCAGUUAAGAGUUGUCGUAUUGGGUGGGGGGGGGGGGGGUCGGUAAAUUAAAAUGUUUUUGCUUUCUUUUGAAAGGCAAGGCAGUGGCCAAAAAACUUCAAAGUGGCUUUACACUUUUUCCAAGCAUUCUGCCAAGCCAUCACCUGUGCCGGUAUACACUGAAGAUCAGGAGCAGAUGGAUGCAAUCCACUCUCACCUGACUUCAAUUCUGGACAGCACAGCCACAGUGACGAGAUCAAAUUCAUCAUGGAUGUACUUUUUCCAGAGAGUCCAUUAUCUGUGCCCUGGCUUUUGUGAAAAAACUGUCCAUCCUGGAGUCUGAGGAGAAAUUUCUGCAAGGACCUGACAUUUACAAAAGAGGAAGUGCAAACAUUUUCCAAAAUCUGAUAUAAAUUGGGAGUAGGGACACUAAG
Molecule: long non-coding RNA, 997 nt
Organism: Cyprinus carpio (common carp)
Lineage: Eukaryota; Metazoa; Chordata; Actinopteri; Cypriniformes; Cyprinidae
Exons: 5
Source: RefSeq, a predicted model, not a curated record